CUCUCAUGGGACUGUGUGCAGC
This 22-nucleotide microRNA is filed under the name Gallus gallus (chicken). RNAcentral's name for it is "gga-miR-1697". Lineage: Eukaryota; Metazoa; Chordata; Aves; Galliformes; Phasianidae. The record is from miRBase by way of RNAcentral.